RNAcentral lists this ribosomal RNA (253 nucleotides) under uncultured bacterium. Its description in RNAcentral is "partial 16S ribosomal RNA". It matches the Rfam family "Bacterial small subunit ribosomal RNA", at positions 524 to 776 of the family's 1533-position model. The record is from RNAcentral.
UACGUAGGGUGCGAGCGUUAAUCGGAAUUACUGGGCGUAAAGUGUGCGCAGGCGGCCGCGCAAGUCGAGUGUGAAAGCCCCGGGCUUAACUUGGGAAUUGCGCUCGAAACUAUGUGGCUGGAGUAUGGCAGAGGAAGGUGGAAUUCCACGUGUAGCGGUGAAAUGCGUAGAGAUGUGGAGGAACACCGAUGGCGAAGGCAGCCUUCUGGGCCAAUACUGACGCUCAUGCACGAAAGCGUGGGGAGCAAACAGG